This 23-nucleotide small nuclear RNA is filed under the name Arabidopsis thaliana (thale cress). RNAcentral's name for it is "snRNA_16332". The record is from RNAcentral. Lineage: Eukaryota; Viridiplantae; Streptophyta; Magnoliopsida; Brassicales; Brassicaceae.
ACUCUCAUAAUUCAUAUAAUGAA